UACGGGGGGGGCAAGCGUUGUUCGGAAUUACUGGGCGUAAAGGGCUCGUAGGCGGCCAGCUAAGUCAGACGUGAAAUCCCUCGGCUUAACCGGGGAACUGCGUCUGAUACUGGAUGGCUUGAGUUUGGGAGAGGGAUGCGGAAUUCCAGGUGUAGCGGUGAAAUGCGUAGAUAUCUGGAGGAACACCGGUGGCGAAGGCGGCAUCCUGGACCAACACUGACGCUGAGGAGCGAAAGCGAGGGGAGCAAACGGG
This 253-nucleotide ribosomal RNA is filed under the name uncultured bacterium. Its description in RNAcentral is "partial 16S ribosomal RNA". It matches the Rfam family "Bacterial small subunit ribosomal RNA", at positions 524 to 776 of the family's 1533-position model. The record is from RNAcentral.